GCGAACUCGUUGCCGUCAGGUGUGGGAAUGCGGGGGGUGUAAGGGUUAUCUGGAUGUAUUGGGGUUAAAGGGUCCGUAGGGGGACCUGUAAGUCAGUGGUGAAAGCCUACAGCUUAACUGUAGAACGGCCGUUGAUACUGUCGGUCUUGAGUGUGGUUGAGGUAGCUGGAAUGAGUAGUGUGGCGGUGAAAUGCAUAGAUAUUACUCAGAACACCAAUUGCGAAGGCAGGUUACCAAGUCACAACUGACGCUGAUGGACGAAAGCGUGGGGAGCGAACAGGAUUAGAUACCCCGGUAGUC
This 300-nucleotide ribosomal RNA is filed under the name uncultured Lactobacillus sp. Its description in RNAcentral is "bacterial SSU rRNA". It matches the Rfam family "Bacterial small subunit ribosomal RNA", at positions 496 to 795 of the family's 1533-position model. The record is from RNAcentral. Lineage: Bacteria; Bacillati; Bacillota; Bacilli; Lactobacillales; Lactobacillaceae.